This 482-nucleotide ribosomal RNA is filed under the name uncultured bacterium. Its description in RNAcentral is "partial 16S ribosomal RNA". It matches the Rfam family "Bacterial small subunit ribosomal RNA", at positions 30 to 507 of the family's 1533-position model. The record is from RNAcentral.
AUUGAACGCUGGCGGCAUGCCUUACACAUGCAAGUCGAACGGUAACGGGCCUUUGGGUGCCGACGAGUGGCGAACGGGUGAGUAAUACAUCGGAACGUGCCCGAUCGUGGGGGAUAACGAGGCGAAAGCUUUGCUAAUACCGCAUACGAUCUACGGAUGAAAGCAGGGGACCGCAAGGCCUUGCGCGGACGGAGCGGCCGAUGGCAGAUUAGGUAGUUGGUGGGAUAAAAGCUUACCAAGCCGACGAUCUGUAGCUGGUCUGAGAGGAUGAUCAGCCACACUGGGACUGAGACACGGCCCAGACUCCUACGGGAGGCAGCAGUGGGGAAUUUUGGACAAUGGGCGCAAGCCUGAUCCAGCCAUGCCGCGUGCAGGAUGAAGGCCUUCGGGUUGUAAACUGCUUUUGUACGGAACGAAAAGCCUUCUUUUAAUACAGGAGGGUCAUGACGGUACCGUAAGAAUAAGCACCGGCUAACUACGUG